RNAcentral lists this ribosomal RNA (253 nucleotides) under uncultured bacterium. RNAcentral describes it as "partial 16S ribosomal RNA". It matches the Rfam family "Bacterial small subunit ribosomal RNA", at positions 524 to 776 of the family's 1533-position model. The record is from RNAcentral.
UACGUAGGGAGCAAGCGUUGUCCGGAAUCAUUGGGCGUAAAGCGCGCGUAGGUGGCUUCGUAAGUCCGUUGUGAAAGUCAAAGGCUCAACCUUUGAAAGCCGAUGGAUACUGCGGAGCUAGAGUACGGAAGAGGCGAGUGGAAUUCCUGGUGUAGCGGUGGAAUGCGCAGAUAUCAGGAGGAACACCGGUGGCGAAGGCGGCUAUCUGGACAGAAACUGACGCUGAGGCGCGAAAGCUAGGGGAGCAAACAGG